This 19-nucleotide ribosomal RNA is filed under the name Lepiota sanguineofracta. Its description in RNAcentral is "partial 28S ribosomal RNA". The record is from RNAcentral. Lineage: Eukaryota; Fungi; Basidiomycota; Agaricomycetes; Agaricales; Agaricaceae.
UGACCUCAAAUCAGGUAGA